RNAcentral lists this ribosomal RNA (426 nucleotides) under uncultured Desulfovibrio sp. RNAcentral's name for it is "bacterial SSU rRNA". It matches the Rfam family "Bacterial small subunit ribosomal RNA", at positions 356 to 774 of the family's 1533-position model. Lineage: Bacteria; Pseudomonadati; Thermodesulfobacteriota; Desulfovibrionia; Desulfovibrionales; Desulfovibrionaceae. The record is from RNAcentral.
GGGGAAUAUUGCGCAAUGGGCGAAAGCCUGACGCAGCGACGCCGCGUGAGGGAUGAAGGUUUUCGGAUCGUAAACCUCUGUCAGAAGGGAAGAAACCGCACCGUGCUAAUCAGCGGUGCCUUGACGGUACCUUCAAAGGAAGCACCGGCUAACUCCGUGCCAGCAGCCGCGGUAAUACGGAGGGUGCAAGCGUUAAUCGGAAUUACUGGGCGUAAAGCGCACGUAGGCUGCUUUGUAAGUCAGGGGUGAAAUCCCACGGCUCAACCGGGGAAACGCCUUUGAGAAUGCGUAGCUUGAAUACGGGGAGGGGGUGGGGGAUUCCAGGUGGAGGAGUGAAAUCCGUAGAUAUCUGGAGGAACAGUAGUGGCGAAGGAGGCCACCUGGAACGGUAUUGACGCUGAGGUGCGAAAGCGUGGGGAGCAAACA